UGAUCCAGUAAUGCCGCUUGAGUGAUGAAGGCCUUCGGGUCGUAAAGCUCUUNUACCAGGAGAUGUAUAAUGACAGUANCCUGGAGAAUAAGCCCCGGCUAACUUCAUGCCAGCAGCCGCGGUAAUA
This 127-nucleotide ribosomal RNA is filed under the name uncultured bacterium. RNAcentral's name for it is "partial 16S ribosomal RNA". It matches the Rfam family "Bacterial small subunit ribosomal RNA", at positions 384 to 525 of the family's 1533-position model. The record is from RNAcentral.